RNAcentral lists this ribosomal RNA (253 nucleotides) under uncultured bacterium. Its description in RNAcentral is "partial 16S ribosomal RNA". It matches the Rfam family "Bacterial small subunit ribosomal RNA", at positions 524 to 776 of the family's 1533-position model. The record is from RNAcentral.
UACAGAGGUCUCAAGCGUUGUUCGGAUUCAUUGGGCGUAAAGGGUGCGUAGGCGGCGUGGUAAGUCGGAUGUGAAAUCUCGGAGCUUAACUCCGAAACUGCAUUCGAUACUGCCGUGCUUGAGGACUGGAGAGGAGACUGGAAUUUACGGUGUAGCGGUGAAAUGCGUAGAUAUCUGGAGGAACACCGGUGGCGAAGGCGGCAUCCUGGACCGACACUGACGCUGAGGAGCGAAAGCCAGGGGAGCAAACGGG